GAUUAACGCUGGCGGCGUGCAUAACACAUGCAAGUCGAACGAUUAAACUUAAAUGAUUUCUUCGGACUGAACUUAAGUGGAUUAGUGGCGGACGGGUGAGUAACGCUUGAGUAACCUGCCUUACACAAGGGGAUAGCCGUUGGACACGACGCAUAAUACCCUAUGAAACUAUCACUUCGCAUGAAGCGUUAGUCAAAGUGUUAGCGGUGUAAGAUGGACUUGCGUCUGAUUAGCUAGUUGGUGAGAAAAAAGCCCACAAAGGAAACGAUCAGUAGCCGGCAUGAGAGAGUGUACGGCAACAUUGGGACUGAGACAAGGGCCAGACACCGACGGGAGGCAGCAGGGGGGAAUUAUGCACAAUGGGGGAAACACUGAGGCAGCGAGGCCGCGAGAUUUAGAAGGCCGUCGGGUUGUAAAAAUCGUUUGUAUAGGAAGAAAAUGACAGUACUAUACGAAUAAGGGCCGGCUAAGUACGUG
Molecule: ribosomal RNA, 477 nt
Filed under: uncultured bacterium
Lineage: Bacteria
Description: partial 16S ribosomal RNA
Rfam family: Bacterial small subunit ribosomal RNA
Source: RNAcentral